AGUCAAGAAAUUGGCUAAGUGAUUGUUUCCAUAUUCGGGGAAACCUAGGUUGAGGAUAAUAAACAUAGUAGGUAAUCCUGAGCCAAAUUUUGUUUGUUUUACAAAAUAGGUGCAGAGACUCAAAGGAAACUAUCCAAACAAAAAUAAAUUUAUUAAUUAUUAGUUCGUUCUAAUAUGAAUUUUAUAUAUACAUAUAAAUAUAUAAAUGACAUAAGGAUAAAGAUAGAGUCCAUUUUUACACGCUAUAUUUGGCAACGAUGUAAGUCAUUGUAAAAAGAAAAUCCGUUGGCUUUUUAGACCAUGAGGGUUCAAGUCCCUCUACCCCCA
This 327-nucleotide transfer RNA is filed under the name Scapania subalpina. RNAcentral's name for it is "partial tRNA-Leu". The stretch from base 1 to 251 matches the Rfam family "Group I catalytic intron", at positions 27 to 253 of the family's 253-position model. From Rfam's summary of the family: Group I catalytic introns are large self-splicing ribozymes. They catalyse their own excision from mRNA, tRNA and rRNA precursors in a wide range of organisms. The record is from RNAcentral. Lineage: Eukaryota; Viridiplantae; Streptophyta; Jungermanniopsida; Jungermanniales; Scapaniaceae.